Molecule: ribosomal RNA, 314 nt
Filed under: uncultured bacterium
Lineage: Bacteria
Description: partial 16S ribosomal RNA
Rfam family: Bacterial small subunit ribosomal RNA
Source: RNAcentral
GUAUAAGAGACAGCAGCCGCCGCGGGAAUACGUAGGUGGCAAGCGUUGUCCGGAAUUAUUGGGCGUAAAGGGCUCGCAGGCGGUUUCUUAAGUCUGAUGUGAAAGCCCCCGGCUCAACCGGGGAGGGUCAUUGGAAACUGGGAAACUUGAGUGCAGAAGAGGAGAGUGGAAUUCCACGUGUAGCGGUGAAAUGCGUAGAGAUGUGGAGGAACACCAGUGGCGAAGGCGACUCUCUGGUCUGUAACUGACGCUGAGGAGCGAAAGCGUGGGAAGCGAACAGGAUUAGAUACCCCCGUAGUCCCUGUCUCUUAUAC